Molecule: long non-coding RNA, 1016 nt
Filed under: Eucalyptus grandis
Lineage: Eukaryota; Viridiplantae; Streptophyta; Magnoliopsida; Myrtales; Myrtaceae
Description: long non-coding RNA (EGRA_LNC006601)
Source: RNAcentral
GAAGAUGGGAUCACACAAUCAAAUUAGGUAGCUUCUUCAAUCACCUGAUAAAUCAAAAAAGGGCCUACAUCACCAUUUGCAGUUCCGAAUAUAUAUAGCAAAGGCUAUGACUAAGCUAUCUAACUAAACAAAGCCCCUCUAAAAUAACUACCCAAAAAAGUAAAAUGAAGACUACAUAACCUGUUUCAUUCUGGAAAAAUGAAGAGAAGGCUGCAUAACCUCUUAAGCACCUGUUCUUAUCAACUCAAACAUGACCGAAAAGGGCACUCAGACAAGAUUUUCUCAGAGAGAUAGAGAGAGAUAGAGGGAGGGAGAGAGACUCAUGUAGGUGGAUGCUACACAAUCCAAGAAUCCUCACCUGCAUAUGAAGACAAGUCCCUCCAAAUUCUCCAUAUAACAAGAGCCAAGCAGGAGAAAUCAUACCACCUAUACCCAACAAAACCUGCACAAUAGAAACAGGCAAACCUAGUCGAUGCCAGAGGUAAUUCAAUUUAACUCUAGGUCCCACUGGUAUCAAGCCAUCAUACUUGCAACAUUAAGGCUGGGAGAUACUAUAAGCCUAGUCUACGCACUAUGACACCCUCUGUGAUUCUCUUUUCGAUGACUUCAGUGUUUCUGCGACUUCACAUUCAUCAGGCAUUAUGAAUAACUAAAUAAAAUGUACACUUUUAUGUGCAUCAUAAAACAAUGAUUAAGUAAAAAUUAUGUCCACUUUAAUUGAUAUGAAUUUGGUAGAUAACCAAUAGAUAACCAGAAAACCAUAAGCACUGGGCAGGUACUUAUUAUAUAUAAUCAUUGCAAUAUGCUUGUUGGCCUAUGUGAAGAUGUUAAUAUACUCUCAAGCCUAAGAGAAGGACUUCCUAUUCGAGUAUCUAAUUGGUAAAAAUGUCCAUAUUAGACGAAUAAACCAGCAGAUGUUCAGAAAAAAAAAAGCACAAAUGGGCAUUCUUUGUGUGCAAUAGGUGCUGCUAAUUUUAAGGCCUCUUGGAGGUAACAUGAUAUUCUAAAGCCUGAGC